AAAGUGCGAUAACUAGUGUGAAUUGCAGAAUUCUGUGAAUCAUCGAACUCUUGAACGCAUCCUGCGCCUUGAGGCUAUCCUCGAGGCACACUUGUUUGAGUGGCGACAAAUAUUCUCUAUCCAAUAAAACUAUGUGCUUCUGCAUGUGGUUUCGAUUGGGAUGAUGACAGUGUAGAGAAAGCUUCUUCAAGCUUUUCUCAACUCUGUUGAAAAAUAUAGGCUGAACUUGCUUACUUCAGUGUAAGUUCCAUAAAGGUUUGAGGAAUUUUUUAUAUUCCACUACUUCCCUUUUGGUCUUAUGCAAUUCAUGUAGUAACUUGUAUACAGUUCAAAGGAACAAAACUCUUAAAGGGUCUCUUGAGCUUUACGCUCAAUCCCCUUUCACACCUUAAUUUCGCCCUCAAAUCAAGUGGGAUUACCCCCUGAAUUUAAGC
Molecule: unclassified non-coding RNA, 434 nt
Filed under: plant metagenome
Description: partial contains 5.8S ribosomal RNA, internal transcribed spacer 2, and large subunit ribosomal RNA
Rfam family: 5.8S ribosomal RNA (bases 1-105)
Source: RNAcentral